Molecule: long non-coding RNA, 453 nt
Organism: Salvia miltiorrhiza (redroot sage)
Lineage: Eukaryota; Viridiplantae; Streptophyta; Magnoliopsida; Lamiales; Lamiaceae
Exons: 3
Source: RefSeq, a predicted model, not a curated record
AUCAAGCAAUAUCAAAGAAAUACAAUUACGAUCUUUGGCUUUUCUUUCUCUAUAUUAUGAUGAUACCAUGUUUCAACACAGCCACCCAAACACAAAGCAAUCACAGGUCGAGCGCAAGAAUAAGAGCUCGUCAAGGAGUCACUAAUCUGUAGCAAAGCUUUGCUAUCAGGUUGAGCAGCUGCCGAUGGUGAUGAAGUGACGAGCGGGACUCUUUUGUCUUAUUAUGUAUUAAUGAACUCUAGGGUUACAUGUCUUCAUACAUGUAAUCAGAACCUUAUUCCGCUGCGUACUCAGGAGUCUUAUGUUAUUUUGGUUAAGUCGGAGUUAUCCGAACUUACUAGUUAUUUGAGUCUAUACGACUAAAACUCCGUUAUAUUAUAAAUAUCCCUGUUGUUAACAAUGAUACUGCGAUCCUUUCUUGUUUGAUUAUUCCCCUUUCUACCCCGCUUCUAA